UCGAGCCGGACAGAAGGGAGCUUGCUCCCGGAUGUUAGCGGCGGACGGGUGAGUAACACGUGGGUAACCUGCCUGUAAGACUGGGAUAACUCCGGGAAACCGGAGCUAAUACCGGAUAGUUCCUUGAACCGCAUGGUUCAAGGAUGAAAGACGGUUUCGGCUGUCACUUACAGAUGGACCCGCGGCGCAUUAGCUAGUUGGUGGGGUAAUGGCUCACCAAGGCGACGAUGCGUAGCCGACCUGAGAGGGUGAUCGGCCACACUGGGACUGAGACACGGCCCAGACUCCUACGGGAGGCAGCAGUAGGGAAUCUUCCGCAAUGGACGAAAGUCUGACGGAGCAACGCCGCGUGAGUGAUGAAGGUUUUCGGAUCGUAAAGCUCUGUUGUUAGGGAAGAACAAGUGCGAGAGUAACUGCUCGCACCUUGACGGUACCUAACCAGAAAGCCACGGCUAACUACGUGCCAGCAGCCGCGGUAAUACGUAGGUGGCAAGCGUUGUCCGGAAUUAUUGGGCGUAAAGGGCUCGCAGGCGGUUUCUUAAGUCUGAUGUGAAAGCCCCCGGCUCAACCGGGGAGGGUCAUUGGAAACUGGGAAACUUGAGUGCAGAAGAGGAGAGUGGAAUUCCACGUGUAGCGGUGAAAUGCGUAGAGAUGUGGAGGAACACCAGUGGCGAAGGCGACUCUCUGGUCUGUAACUGACGCUNAGGAGCGAAAGCGUGGGGAGCGAACAGGAUUAGAUACCCUGGUAGUCCACGCCGUAAAC
This 763-nucleotide ribosomal RNA is filed under the name bacterium Ss71. Its description in RNAcentral is "bacterial SSU rRNA". It matches the Rfam family "Bacterial small subunit ribosomal RNA", at positions 62 to 807 of the family's 1533-position model. The record is from RNAcentral.